Molecule: long non-coding RNA, 1021 nt
Organism: Tachysurus vachellii
Lineage: Eukaryota; Metazoa; Chordata; Actinopteri; Siluriformes; Bagridae
Exons: 3
Source: RefSeq, a predicted model, not a curated record
GUUUGAUGUGUUCUGAAAGUUGGAGUAUUGUGGUUUUGUGAUUGUUCUGGUAUUGACUUCUGCCUGUUUUUGACUCCAAGCUUGGUUUACCCUUGGAUUUGUUGCUGUGUUACACAUUGUAUAUAUACCUACGGUAUAUUUCACUGUAAAAUUGUAGGGGUGUGGCUGCCACUUUUCUUUGGGAGUGGGUUCUUCCCCUGUGUGUUUUGGUAGGGAGUUAGGGAAGUACAACUGUAUUUUUCUUUUCUUUGCUUUAAGGUAAGGAUAGUUAUUUAACUAUUAGACCUUUUUGUUUAUUAUUUUGGCCUUGGCCCACCUUGAAGAGACACCAGUAUACUGUCAUCUGUAAAUUAUACACAAAUACACUUACGUAGAAAUUCUACUGUGUGUUGUUUCUUUUGGUAAUUUAUAAAGGUAUCUAAUCACUGAAUCCCGAGCUAUAACACUGUGCAGCCCAACCCAAGACUGGGUUGUAACAGGUGAAAAGACCCAACUUUGUUCUGUAAGAUUCUCUAAUCUGUCAAACAUAUUUUAUUAGAUUGUCCUGGACUUUGUAGGAGAAAAACGACUCCAACCUACAUUGGCCCAGGCUAGCUCCUGCAAUCUGACUAUAAGUUUAAACAACAGUUCUAAGUAAAAAUUCAAAGAAGAAAUGAUCAGCCAAACUCACGAAGACUGGAUUCAGUUGAGACUCAUUCUCUUUUCUGUGGUCUUCUUCAACACAACUCAACAUAACACACUUGUUCAUGGCUUCAAUCUCCGCAUCGGUAGCACACCUUUUGGAUGAAACUGAUCUUUCUACACCGUCACCUACUGCUGAUCUUCUCACUGAGGUCAUUACUCAUUAUAUCCAGGAUAUGGAGAGUCGUGGUCGACCCAGCGACACAUCUGCUGUUAAGGGGGUCGAUGUCUCAACACAGACUGCUACAGUUGUCACCAAGUCUACUCAGACUCUUCCAACUCCAUCCACACGCACUCAGCCUACUCAAGCUCCAUGGCGUGUUAACAAAAAGACUCAAUA